RNAcentral lists this ribosomal RNA (415 nucleotides) under alpha proteobacterium SCGC AAA028-I07. RNAcentral describes it as "bacterial SSU rRNA". It matches the Rfam family "Bacterial small subunit ribosomal RNA", at positions 355 to 787 of the family's 1533-position model. The record is from RNAcentral. Lineage: Bacteria; Pseudomonadati; Pseudomonadota; Alphaproteobacteria.
UGGGGAAUCUUGCACAAUGGAGGAAACUCUGAUGCAGCGAUGCCGCGUGAGUGAAGAAGGCCUUUGGGUUGUAAAGCUCUUUUGUAGGGGAAGAUAAUGACUGUACCCUAAGAAUAAGGUCCGGCUAACUUCGUGCCAGCAGCCGCGGUAAUACGAAGGGACCUAGCGUAGUUCGGAAUUACUGGGCGUAAAGCGCGCGUAGGCCGUUGAGUUAGUUAAUUGUGAAAUCCCAAAGCUUAACUUUGGAACUGCAAUUAAAACUGCUCGACUAGAGUUUGAUAGAGGAAAGCGGAAUACAUAGUGUAGAGGUGAAAUUCGUAGAUAUUAUGUAGAACACCAGUUGCGAAGGCGGCUUUCUGGAUCAACACUGACGCUGAGGCGCGAAAGUAUGGGUAGCAAAGAGGAUUAGAUACCC